ACCCUUCAGCCCCUCCUCCCCUUGACCUCGGUUCCCUGGUUUCUUGAGGGGGCAGUGUGUGUGUGUGUGUGUGUGUGUGUGUGUGUGUGUGUGUUUAAAAAGUCCAGGAUUGAGGAGGGGCUGGACCCAGAAGAGAUGGGCUUGCAUACCUCCCCCAAAGGCUCCAGGCCUCCAGCCUCCAGCUGCCAUGCUCCAGUGCGGACAGACAAUCCGACGGGGACUGUGGGUGACUUGAAAGCAGGAAGACUCAGUUCACCACUGCAUCUCCCUGCACCAGAGAGGGACUCCCAAGUAUCCAUUAAAGUCAAGUGAGGGGUGCUGGCUGAA
This is a long non-coding RNA of Neogale vison (American mink), 327 nucleotides long. RefSeq lists it as uncharacterized. The record is from RefSeq and is a predicted model, not a curated record. The transcript is spliced from 2 exons. NCBI's taxonomy places the organism in Eukaryota, Metazoa, Chordata, Mammalia, Carnivora, Mustelidae.